AGAGUUUGAUCAUGGCUCAGGAUGAACGCUGGCGGCGUGCUUAACACAUGCAAGUCGAACGGAGUUUUUAAACCGAAGUUUCGGAUGGAAGUUUAGAACUUAGUGGCGGACGGGUGAGUAACGCGUGGGUAACCUGCCUCAUACAGGGGGAUAACAGUUAGAAAUGACUGCUAACACCGCAUAAUAUAGCGAAACCGCAUGAUUUUGCUAUCAAAUAUUUAUAGGUAUGAGAUGGGCCCGCGUCUGAUUAGCUAGUUGGUGGGGUAAAGCCUACCAAGGCGACGAUCAGUAGCCGGCUUGAGAGAGUGACCGGCCACAUUGGGACUGAGACACGGCCCAAACUCCUACGGGAGGCAGCAGUGGGGAAUAUUGGACAAUGGGGGAAACCCUGAUCCAGCGACGCCCGCGUGAGUGAAGAAGUAUUUCGGUAUGUAAAGCUCUAUCAGCAGGGAAGAUAAUGACAGUACCUGACUAAGAAGCCCCGGCUAACUACGUGCCAGCAGCUGC
This 507-nucleotide ribosomal RNA is filed under the name uncultured bacterium. RNAcentral describes it as "bacterial SSU rRNA". It matches the Rfam family "Bacterial small subunit ribosomal RNA", at positions 8 to 518 of the family's 1533-position model. The record is from RNAcentral.